UCUUUAUAGAUUUUGGACACUAGCCCUUUAUCUGAUAUGUCGUUUGCAAAUAUCUUCUCCCAUUCUGUCAGUUGUCUUUUGGUUUUGUUAACUGUUUCCUUUGCUGUACAAACCUUUUGAUCUUGAUGAAGUCCCAAAAGUUCAUUUUUGC
Long non-coding RNA from Lutra lutra (Eurasian river otter), 151 nucleotides. RefSeq lists it as uncharacterized. The record is from RefSeq and is a predicted model, not a curated record. The transcript is spliced from 3 exons. Lineage: Eukaryota; Metazoa; Chordata; Mammalia; Carnivora; Mustelidae.